This 463-nucleotide ribosomal RNA is filed under the name uncultured Rhodocyclaceae bacterium. Its description in RNAcentral is "bacterial SSU rRNA". It matches the Rfam family "Bacterial small subunit ribosomal RNA", at positions 919 to 1382 of the family's 1533-position model. The record is from RNAcentral. Lineage: Bacteria; Pseudomonadati; Pseudomonadota; Betaproteobacteria; Rhodocyclales; Rhodocyclaceae.
ACCCACACAAGCGGUGGAUGAUGUGGAUUAAUUCGAUGCAACGCGAAAACCUUACCUACCCUUGACAUGUCCGGAAUCCCGAAGAGAUUUGGGAGUGCUCGCAAGAGAACCGGAACACAGGUGCUGCAUGGCUGUCGUCAGCUCGUGUCGUGAGAUGUUGGGUUAAGUCCCGCAACGAGCGCAACCCUUGUCAUUAGUUGCCAUCAUUUGGUUGGGCACUCUAAUGAGACUGCCGGUGACAAACCGGAGGAAGGUGGGGAUGACAUCAAGUCCUCAUGGCCCUUAUGGGUAGGGCUUCACACGUCAUACAAUGGUCGGUACAGAGGGUUGCCAACCCGCGAGGGGGAGCUAAUCCCACAAAGCCGAUCGUAGUCCGGAUCGCAGUCUGCAACUCGACUGCGUGAAGUCGGAAUCGCUAGUAAUCGUGGAUCAGCAUGUCACGGUGAAUACGUUCCCGGGUCUU